GACGAACGCUGGCGGCGUGCUUAACACAUGCAAGUCGAACGGAAAGGCCCUGCUUUUGUGGGGUGCUCGAGUGGCGAACGGGUGAGUAACACGUGAGUAACCUGCCCUUGACUUUGGGAUAACUUCAGGAAACUGAGGCUAAUACCGGAUAGGAGCUCCUGCUGCAUGGUGGGGGUUGGAAAGUUUCGGCGGUUGGGGAUGGACUCGCGGCUUAUCAGCUUGUUGGUGGGGUAGUGGCUUACCAAGGCUUUGACGGGUAGCCGGCCUGAGAGGGUGACCGGCCACAUUGGGACUGAGAUACGGCCCAGACUCCUACGGGAGGCAGCAGUGGGGAAUAUUGCACAAUGGGCGGAAGCCUGAUGCAGCAACGCCGCGUGCGGGAUGACGGCCUUCGGGUUGUAAACCGCUUUCGCCUGUGACGAAGCGUGAGUGACGGUAAUGGGUAAAGAAGCACCGGCUAACUACGUGCCAGCAGCCGCGGUGAUACGUAGGGUGCGAGCGUUGUCCGGAUUUAUUGGGCGUAAAGGGCUCGUAGGUGGUUGAUCGCGUCGGAAGUGUAAUCUUGGGGCUUAACCCUGAGCGUGCUUUCGAUACGGGUUGACUUGAGGAAGGUAGGGGAGAAUGGAAUUCCUGGUGGAGCGGUGGAAUGCGCAGAUAUCAGGAGGAACACCAGUGGCGAAGGCGGUUCUCUGGGCCUUUCCUGACGCUGAGGAGCGAAAGCGUGGGGAGCGAACAGGCUUAGAUACCCUGGUAGUCCACGCUGUAAACGGUGGGUACUAGGUGUGGGGUCCAUUCCACGGGUUCCGUGCCGUAGCUAACGCUUUAAGUACCCCGCCUGGGGAGUACGGCCGCAAGGCUAAAACUCAAAGGAAUUGACGGGGCCCCGCACAAGCGGCGGAGCAUGCGGAUUAAUUCGAUGCAACGCGUAGAACCUUACCUGGGUUUGACAUGGAUCGGGAGUGCUCAGAGAUGGGUGUGCCUCUUUUGGGGUCGGUUCACAGGUGGUGCAUGCCUGUCGUCAGCUCGUGUCGUGAGAUGUUGGGUUAAGUCCCGCAACGAGCGCAACCCUUGUUCACUGUUGCCAGCACGUUAUGGUGGGGACUCAGUGGAGACCGCCGGGGUCAACUCGGAGGAAGGUGGGGAUGACGUCAAGUCAUCAUGCCCCUUAUGUCCAGGGCUUCACGCAUGCUACAAUGGCUGGUACAGAGAGUGGCGAGCCUGUGAGGGUGAGCGAAUCUCGGAAAGCCGGUCUCAGUUCGGAUUGGGGUCUGCAACUCGACCUCAUGAAGUCGGAGUCGCUAGUAAUCGCAGAUCAGCAACGCUGCGGUGAAUACGUUCCCGGGGCU
RNAcentral lists this ribosomal RNA (1346 nucleotides) under uncultured bacterium. RNAcentral describes it as "partial 16S ribosomal RNA". It matches the Rfam family "Bacterial small subunit ribosomal RNA", at positions 28 to 1381 of the family's 1533-position model. The record is from RNAcentral.